UUUGUACAACUCAACUAGAUUAGGUAGGGCCUGGUCAAAUUUGGACAACACUGAGUUGCUUUCAUAUCUUGAAUGAUGGUGGGGGACAAUGCACAUUUAUUAGGAAACAAAAUGUAAAAUCUGGCAGCCAAAUCACCCAAAGAAUUAGGAUGUUCCUGCUAAGAACCAUAACCAACUGCAAAAUAUUUGGGUUCUCAUCAACUGAGAUCAAAAUGUCUAGGCCUCCCCAUGCAGGACUUCUAGUGUGCUGCUGGGUAAGGAAUAAACAGUGUACCUGAGGGAAGAGGAGAAAGAACCCUAGAAGUUGCCCGGGUUUCUUCGAUAAAGAGAAUUUCAAGUUGGGAACAAAAGUCUUUAAAGUUCUUAUCUUCCAAUUUGGAAGGCCAUCCUGCAACAUUCUAGAAUUUUGAUAAGGCAUUUGUUGGGACAUGGAGAAGAAGGUCAUCUUGACGCCUUCCAGGAAUGCCACGAGUAUAGCUGGCAGAGCUGAUCUCUACAGAUUUAGCUCCAUUUUCCUUCCACCAUUUUCCUUCCAACUGCAUCAUGUAGCUGUAAAGGUCUGUGUGUGGCUGUGCCGAGGAAGAACUCUGACCACCCCCUUGUUGAAUACCUUUCUCCCAACAACCUCACAGCCCUUACUCUUGACCCCUUCCACUUUCUGGAAUCAGAAUACAGCCCCCUCGAGCGCUCCCACAGCACAUACCUGCCCAGCCUUUGGAGUUAUUCUACUCUGCAUUGAUAACUCCCUCAUCCUGAAGCAAGUACAGUAUGUUUUAUUUAGUCAGUGAUUUGCUUUAUUCAUCCACUGUGUGUCAUUUAUUAAGCUCUGCCAUAAUAUUUGCUUUUCUCUGUUGCAGUCUAUGAGUAUAUUUUGAUUCUGAUGCAUUUGUUAAAAUUCCCCUUUCAAAAUUGCCCUGCCCAGAUGUACUACUUCCAGAGUUUUAAAAUCCCUUAUAAGAAUGUAUGCUCGGAUCAUGCAUAAGGUCAUACACAUGUCCAUACAGUAUAACCAGUAACCCUUACUUGUAAGUUGUUACUUCCAAGUUUUGAUCAAAACCACUGUCUUUGUGCACAUACACAUUCAGGAGCAUCUCUGAUGCUGGAGCAGGAAGGAGAGAAGAAUGUUUUAAUGUCUUCAGGGGACCUGGAUUCAGCUUAGUAAAGGGGAACCCUAACCUAUCAAAUUGAAAGGUAAAGAAAAUCGCUCAAAGUGUCCAGAUGUGCUUUUCCAUGACAGUGUUUACAUAAGCUGGAAAAUGUGUCCUCAAGAUCAUCUCAAGGCACCAUGAUUAUCUAUCUUUGGGUAGAGUGGGCGGCAUAAAAGUUAAAUAAAUAAAUAAAUCAUGAGUCA
RNAcentral lists this long non-coding RNA (1351 nucleotides) under Pogona vitticeps (central bearded dragon). RNAcentral describes it as "lncRNA (ENSPVIG00000022792.1)". Lineage: Eukaryota; Metazoa; Chordata; Lepidosauria; Squamata; Agamidae. The record is from RNAcentral.